RNAcentral lists this ribosomal RNA (453 nucleotides) under Clostridioides difficile. RNAcentral's name for it is "bacterial SSU rRNA". It matches the Rfam family "Bacterial small subunit ribosomal RNA", at positions 1 to 479 of the family's 1533-position model. The record is from RNAcentral. Lineage: Bacteria; Bacillati; Bacillota; Clostridia; Peptostreptococcales; Peptostreptococcaceae.
UUUUAUUUGAGAGUUUGAUCCUGGCUCAGGAUGAACGCUGGCGGCGUGCCUAACACAUGCAAGUUGAGCGAUUUACUUCGGUAAAGAGCGGCGGACGGGUGAGUAACGCGUGGGUAACCUCCCCUGUACACACGGAUAACAUACCGAAAGGUAUGCUAAUACGGGAUAAUAUAUUUGAGAGGCAUCUCUUAAAUAUCAAAGGUGAGCCAGUACAGGAUGGACCCGCGUCUGAUUAGCUAGUUGGUAAGGUAACGGCUUACCAAGGCGACGAUCAGUAGCCGACCUGAGAGGGUGAUCGGCCACAUUGGAACUGAGACACGGUCCAAACUCCUACGGGAGGCAGCAGUGGGGAAUAUUGCACAAUGGGCGAAAGCCUGAUGCAGCAACGCCGCGUGAGUGAUGAAGGCCUUCGGGUCGUAAAACUCUGUCCUCAAGGAAGAUAAUGACGGUACU